ACGGGAGGCAGCAGUGGGGAAUAUUGCACAAUGGGCGCAAGCCUGAUGCAGCGAUGCCGCGUGAGGGAAGAAGGUUUUCGGAUUGUAAACCUCUGUCAACAGGGACGAAAAUGACUGUACCUGUGAAGGAAGCUCCGGCUAACUACGUGCCAGCAGCCGCGGUAAUACGUAGGGAGCAAGCGUUAUCCGGAAUUACUGGGUGUAAAGGGUGCGCAGGCGGGACUGCAAGUUGGAUGUGAAAUACCGAGGCUUAACCUCGGAGCUGCAUCCAAAACUGUGGUUCUUGAGUGGAGUAGAGGUAAGCGGAAUUCCGAGUGUAGCGGUGAAAUGCGUAGAUAUUCGGAGGAACACCAGUGGCGAAGGCGGCUUACUGGGCUCUAACUGACGCUGAGGCACGAAAGUGUGGGUAGCAAACAGGAUUAGAUACCCUGGUA
This 434-nucleotide ribosomal RNA is filed under the name uncultured Clostridium sp. RNAcentral describes it as "partial 16S ribosomal RNA". It matches the Rfam family "Bacterial small subunit ribosomal RNA", at positions 341 to 792 of the family's 1533-position model. Lineage: Bacteria; Bacillati; Bacillota; Clostridia; Eubacteriales; Clostridiaceae. The record is from RNAcentral.